GACGUAGGGCGCGAGCGUUGUCCGGAUUUAUUGGGCGUAAAGAGCUCGUAGGCGGCUUGUCGCGUCGACCGUGAAAACUUGGGGGCUCAACCCCAAGCCUGCGGUCGAUACGGGCAGGCUAGAGUUCGGUAGGGGAGACUGGAAUUCCUGGUGUAGCGGUGAAAAUGCGCAGAUAUCAGGAGGAACACCGGUGGCGAAGGCGGGUCUCUGGGCCGAUACUGACGCUGAGGAGCGAAAAGCGUGGGGGAGCGAAACAGG
RNAcentral lists this ribosomal RNA (258 nucleotides) under uncultured bacterium. Its description in RNAcentral is "partial 16S ribosomal RNA". It matches the Rfam family "Bacterial small subunit ribosomal RNA", at positions 524 to 776 of the family's 1533-position model. The record is from RNAcentral.